This 497-nucleotide ribosomal RNA is filed under the name uncultured bacterium. RNAcentral's name for it is "partial 16S ribosomal RNA". It matches the Rfam family "Bacterial small subunit ribosomal RNA", at positions 29 to 507 of the family's 1533-position model. The record is from RNAcentral.
AGUGAACGCUGGCGGCAGGCCUAAUACAUGCAAGUCGAGCGAACAGACGAUAAGCGUUCGCCUCUACCGUUGGCGGCUGACGGGUGAGUGAGGCGUGGAUAGCCUACCUAUUUGACUUGGAGGACUUCGUGAAACCAGUUCUGAUACUAGAGCAUAUAUUCAACCGCAGGAAGCAGUAGAUAUUGACACUUUUGCUGUUUCUUUGAGACGGAGCCGCGCUGCAUUAGCUAGUUGGUAAGGUAACGGCUAACCAAGGCAACGAUGCGUAGCCGACCUGAGAGGGUGAUCAGCCACACUGGAACUGAGACACGGUCCAGACUCCUACGGGAGGCAGCAGUAGGGAAUAUUGCGCAAUGGGCGAAAGCCUGACGCAGCCACGCCGCGUGAGUGAUGAAGGUCUUCGGAUUGUAAAACUCUGUUAUUAGGAAAGAAAAACUGUGGAAGUAACUCCGCCUGUCCUGACGGUACCUAAACAGAAAGCAACGGCUAACUACGUG